GUCUAUAUUUUUUUCUUAUCAUAAAAAAUGAGAGUAAUUAUUUCAAUGAUAAAAUUACUCUCUCUUUAAUUUACAAAUUACACUCCAUCACUUUUCAUAUGCUCAUCCAGAGAGGUCCAAAUACCAUCCUCCCUUCUCAAUAUUUAGCUGCCCACUCAUCCAUGGAAGUACAAAUAUCAUAUUAGAAACCUAUGUCACCGCCCGCAAUGAAUUCAAUCAAAUUACUUCUGCUUGGCCGAUUUUGCAAGGAAAAUCGCACGCACCAUUUGCAAAAUUGCAGCAAUGGCCACUGUAGCUGCUUGGAUCUUUGUUGUCUAGGAUAACACUAUCAGACUUUUCAAGGUUAAGUUGCGUUUCUUCACGAUGAUUUUCUGUAAUCCCACCAUUAAAGGUUUCCCAGGACAGUCACAAUGUAAGCUUUUUUUUCAAAGUGGUCUCCACUCAGCAACUGUUGAUAAUGUAUAUGAAUGUUUGUAUAAUGUUCAUAAAUACAAGAAUGAUAAACCAUUUCUCACCAAAUCACAAAAAGCUUUGUUUCAAAGCUGCAUUAUCUGAUAUCCUGAAAAGGUUAAUGGCAGAAAAUAUACAGAGAAGGGAAGAAGAAGAAGAAGAAGAAGAAGAAGAAUGAUAAUAAAAAGAAGAAUAAUAGAAGAAUUGACAGAGAAGAAGAAGUUGGAUUAGGACUGAUAAAAAUGAAAAUGGGAAGGUUUACCAUGAUUGUUGUUGUGAGAGGUAAUUGUGAAAUUCUACGUUAAAUGAUAGAGAGGAAGGAAGAGAUGAACGGAG
RNAcentral lists this long non-coding RNA (786 nucleotides) under Manihot esculenta (cassava). RNAcentral's name for it is "long non-coding RNA (MESC_LNC002442)". The record is from RNAcentral. Lineage: Eukaryota; Viridiplantae; Streptophyta; Magnoliopsida; Malpighiales; Euphorbiaceae.